Molecule: long non-coding RNA, 707 nt
Organism: Helianthus annuus (common sunflower)
Lineage: Eukaryota; Viridiplantae; Streptophyta; Magnoliopsida; Asterales; Asteraceae
Exons: 2
Source: RefSeq, a predicted model, not a curated record
UUAUCCAGCAAACAUCAAAUUCAUAAUCGUAUCGACCCCCACCGUGAAAAAAUAAAAUAACCAUUUAAAUAAAGAAAAAAAACAAUAGUUAACACCAUAAAGUCUUCAGAAAUCUUUCCCCCCAAAAUUUUCAGCAAAAUUCUUCUCCCUCUCAAAGUUUCUCCUCGAUCCCUUGAACCCAAACCAAUCGACGGCAGCCCUCACGUCGAAAACCCUAAUUACUAACCGGCUGCAACCCUCGCCUCACCUAAGCGGCGGCUACAAACCCUAAUUACCUAACCGGCGACUACAAACCCUAAUCGGAGCUUGAACUGAUCGACAAAUAGAGGUGAUAUUGUAGUUGUUCUACCUUUAGGCGAUUGUUCACUCACCACCGAGUGUGAAGGUGGUGUUAAGAUUGAAAUUCCUAUUGUGAUUUUGGUGAAGGUGGUGUUGAGAUGGGGAUGAUGUAUAGAGUAUCUUCAAGCUGUUCGUAUUUUGCAUUUUGAUCAUGGAGCUGUUUUUCUUUUACGAAGGUUUUUUUUUUUUGUUAGAUUGACAUUUUAUUUUGCAGAUUUUGAAUUUUGUGCAGUCGCAUUUUGUCUUUCUUUUGCUGAGUAAGGAUUCAUUUGAUCUUUGGAAGAGCUUUGCAACAAUUUAGGAAAUUAAUUAAUCGGAUAGUUUUUUUUGGUUAUAUCGUGAUAUUAUUAAUUGAAUUCGGAACGAAA